Triticum aestivum (bread wheat) is the source of this 124-nucleotide non-coding RNA. Lineage: Eukaryota; Viridiplantae; Streptophyta; Magnoliopsida; Poales; Poaceae. The record is from Rfam.
GUUUUACUCCCUCUGUCCCGAAUUACUUGUCGCAGAAAUGGAUGUAUCUAGACAUAUUUUUAGUUCUAGAUACAUCCAUUUCUAUCCAUUUCUGUGACAAGUAAUUCGGACGAGGGAGUAUGAU